GCAGCCAUUGGUUCUCUGGAACUAUAAAGCACACUCAUCCAGAAACAGCCUCAGAUUUUACUUUCCUGGAGGCAGACAGAAGUGAAUGCUUACUUACUCCCAGAUGCGGCCUGGGUAUGAAGUAGGCCUUUCCUGAGUGGCUCCCAAUCCAGUCCUCCAAGUACUCAGAGGGGAAGCCCGUGAAGCCGUCAUCUAAGUCCUGCUCCCUCACAUGAAGCUGAGGGCCAGAUAGAUGGAGCGACUGCCAACUUCAUUUCCCGACAUCAUUGUGUUCAGAAGAGAGUGAUGGGUUUUGAGUUAGACAGUCCUGGGCUUGAGACAGGCUUUGUCACUACUGUGUGAGUGUAGCCACCUAAUCUCUCUGAGACUGUGUAAAACAAAGAUGAUAAAAUCUCACCCUGUUGUGAGAUAUUAAAUGAGCCAAAGUGCCUAGCAUGAUGGUGCUGGCUCAUAUAGUGUAGUCCCUGGAAUGGCAAAUUAACAUCACCCAGGAACUUGUUAGAAAGGCAAAUUCUUGGACACAACCCUCCUGAUUUAUGGAAUCAGAAACUCUGGCUGUGGGGCCCAGCAACCUGAGUUUAAACAAUUUCUCUGGGUGGUUCUGCGGCACACUAAGGUUUGAAAAUCACUGCAACAAAUGCUAACUUCUAAUCCCCUUGAUGAGCUUUCACGAAGUCUCACGGCUUCUCUAGGGACUCCAUGGUCUUCAGAGUCGUUCACAGAUGACCAAGGACAGACUGUGUCCCAGAAGCCAAAAUGAGAGAGAGAGAGAGAGAGCACGCGUACGUGCACCCUGGGGCAGUGUCUCACCGUAUGAACAAGGGAUGUAACACUAAAAGCCCAUUAGGGGGCAGUGUUUCCCGCCUGUUGUAGAAACUGGUACAGAAAGGAAUAUGAAGUUCCUGAAACUGACCUUUGUCUAUUAUUACCUUCUCUGAAAAGUGCCAGUCCAUGUAUUUUUUAUUUAUUUUAAGUUUGUAAUUUAAUUUUUAAUUAUUGUUUAGUGUUUGCAUUUAAUUUUAUUUAAUCACCACAUUUAGAAAAUAAUAAGAGCAAGUUUCUAAAUGGGAGACUGCUGAGGCUCUUUGCAAGAGAUGAGAUUAAGUUUGAGUUUCUAAGGCAGGGCAUGAGCUGGAAAUAGCAUUGCUUUCCUUGAUUGUCUCUCUCCUUCAGGGAGAUUCUUUUUCUCUAGUGUUUUAAGUGAUCCUUUGAAGUAAGUGUGGAGAGUCUUGAAUGGCAAGACCAGGAGCUGAGUUUAAGCUUGUAAUGGAAGCUUGCAUUGUGGGAUAUAUAACUGAGGAAGCAUAUUUAUCCUGAAGGUAUUUUGCCAGAAGGUAUCACUUGACCUGGAAAAGGAAUCUAUUUAGUUCAGGAAAGAUAAAAAGUUUAGAGGUAUGUGAAGGAAGCACUUAGAACUUGCAAGCCUGAUGUCCUAUCAAGUUAUGUCUUCUGGGUGACAGACAAAAUCGCUUGUCUUAUGGUGGUGAUGUGUUGCAUUUUCACUUUGGGGUCUGUAAGAAACUGUCAGUGAAAAUAUGUACAAUUCCUUCAAUUUCCAUUCUUAACAACUGUAAUGUUGAAAAAUAAGUUGAAAAGUCUUUGGGACCAUACAUGCAAAAACGGUGCCUCUGUUACUUAAUUAUUUAAUAUUCUAUAAAUGUACCCAAUCUGUCCGCACCCUUCCCAGUGAUGGGGCAGUAUGUCUGAGGAAGUAUAAUUUCAGUACUGGGGUCGGGGAGAGGAGGUGAUGUUUCUACAUUUUUAUUUUUUCUAUAAAUUGCAAUUGGUCUGUAUGCUGGUUUAUUUUGAAAUUUAUAUUGGUUUCUUUUCAAGCUGGUGUCAUCUCCUAGACUGUUUCACCCAGAUGCUAGCAUUUUUUUUUUUUUUUUGAGACAGAGUCUCACUCUGUCACCUAGGCUGGAGUUGCAGUGGUUUGAUCUCGGCUCACUGCAACCUCCGACUCCUGGGUUCAAGCAAUUCUUCUGCCUCAGCCUCCUGAGUAGCUGGGAUUACAGAUGUGCACCAGCACACCCGGCUAAUUUUUUGUAUUUUUAGUAGAGACAGGGUUUCGCCAUGUUGGCCAGGCUGGUCUUGAACUCCUGGCCUUAUGUGAUCCGCCCACCUUGGCUUCCCAAAGUGCUGGGAUUACAGGCAUGAGCCACCUCGCCUGGCCAGAUGCUAGCAUUUUAGAUCAAACAAUUCAUUUUAGAUGAAUUGUUUUGUUUCACAAUCAUUUUAAAUCAUUUUAGAAUGUACUUCACAUUAUUAGUUGUGUUAUGGCAUAAAGGUACAACCAUUCCCUAACUCCAUCUUUUAUUAAUGCUUAAGUUUAAAUUAUAUUCUUCCAAUGCCUAAGCUAUUCCCUAGAAUUAAACUGGGCACUUUUGGAAGCAGCAACAGUAACAGCAGCAGCAAACUUUUCCUCUCAUAUUUUGGGUGUAUCAAAAGUUCUAGACUUUUGAAGUUAUGAUUUCAGUGGCCCACUUUAUUUCUAAGGAAGAGUGUCUACUUUGGAACGAUACUUUGCACAUAGUAGGAACUCAAGAAAUACAUUUGAAUAAUUAUAAUUAACUGUUUAGCUAUCUUAAUGAGAAUUUGUUGACAACAAAAGAUCAUCCAUCGCCUUAUGUGUGAGUAAGAUUGGAGCCUCUAUCAAGAUUUAGUCAAGUUCAGUUAGAUUGAUUCUAGAAACAAAUAUUUAUUUCUUUCUUUUACGGGGAUGUGAAUAAGGCUUUUCCUUAAGGCCUUCAUUCUUUAAACAAACAGGUUGAAAUGGUAUGUUGUAAAAGAGAAGACGGGAGAGAGGUAUUUAGAUGAUAAGUGUACUUCACAAAAAUGCCAAAGUUUGAAAAAUAGGUAUGUUUGUUCUAAAUGUUUAAGUGCUUCUCUGUUAGGUUCUGGGGCUUGCAAUCAUUUGAAUUGUUCUGUUUCACAAUAAAGGAGAUUCACUGGGUUCUGCAUUUUCAGGAUUCAAUAGAACUGCUCCAUUAAAAAAAUAAUCCUUAGCAAGCAUUCGAAUCCUAACUGCUUUGAUGCACUUGCCCUCGGGCACCUGUCAUUUCCAAUAUGGUAGGUGUCAAAGUCAAAAGUAUUUACUGGGAGAAAAAAGAGAGGAGUGGUUGUAGAAGUCUCCCUAAAUCAGACAUGUCAAGCAAUCAGCCAACGUGGUGUAUUUCUCAUUCAAUAUUUUAGUGUGAAUUGAGACACUGAGAUAAAGACAUCGUGCAGAGAUAAAUGGGGAUACAGUUAAAUGUAGCAACUCUUGAGUUCAUUUUUUCCCACUGUAGCAAAAUUAAUGCUUUCUCUUUAUUGAAAUAAAUUGCUCAUUCCUCAAAUUUUUUUAUCUUUCUGUAAUUAAUUUCCUAGUUCUAUGUUUCCUUGUGUAUGAAUUAGUAACUUUGAAAAAGGGCAGAUGUUUAAUCAUUUUCACUUAGAAUAUUCAGAUCAAACUAUAUGAAUCAUUUUUUUUUAAUAAUCAAUGCAUACACAGGAAUUCCCUUUUGCCUAGAAAUCAGACUUCCA
RNAcentral lists this long non-coding RNA (3522 nucleotides) under Homo sapiens (human). RNAcentral describes it as "HSALNT0185786". The record is from RNAcentral. Lineage: Eukaryota; Metazoa; Chordata; Mammalia; Primates; Hominidae.